AUACGGAGGAUCCGAGCGUUAUCCGGAUUUAUUGGGUUUAAAGGGUGCGUAGGCGGCCUUUUAAGUCAGCGGUGAAAGUCUGUGGCUCAACCAUAGAAUUGCCGUUGAAACUGGGAGGCUUGAGUAUGUUUGAGGCAGGCGGAAUGCGUGGUGUAGCGGGGAAAUGCUUAGAUAUCACGCAGAACCCCGAUUGCGAAGGCAGCCUGCCAAGCCAUGACUGACGCUGAUGCACGAAAGCGUGGGGAUCAAACAGGAUUAGAUACCCUGGUAGUCCACGCAGUAAACGAUGAUCACUAGCUGUUUGCGAUACACUGUAAGCGGCACAGCGAAAGCGUUAAGUGAUCCACCUGGGGAGUACGCCGGCAACGGUGAAACUUAAAGGAAUUGACGGGG
Molecule: ribosomal RNA, 393 nt
Filed under: uncultured bacterium
Lineage: Bacteria
Description: partial 16S ribosomal RNA
Rfam family: Bacterial small subunit ribosomal RNA
Source: RNAcentral